UGGGACUUCAAAGCAAAACCGCCCACGUGGUCACGGAGUAGCAGACAGCGAGUCAGGGUUUUCGCAGCUUACUGCGGGGUUCGUUCUCCCGGGAUACAGACGGACCACUCCGGACAAAGCGUGCAGUUUCACUCCAGAAAGUCAACCAUCGGAAGGACAUUGUGUUCCCUUGGCUGCUGUUUGAUCUAUGGAAGCUGUGUUUGCUGUCAAACUUCUCCCAGAGUGGGACGGCCCGGCGUACGAGGAACACCGCAACGUAUCGAGUUGCACACCGACUGGCUGCCAAUACGUCUGAGGGGAAAACGCUACCAGGACAAACUGCACUGAAGAUUCCAAUCCCCUGGAAUCAGCACUACUUCACUGUCAUUAGUGGCCAUUUGGGUUCUCACCCUGGAAAUAAACAACUUGC
Long non-coding RNA from Nerophis lumbriciformis (worm pipefish), 409 nucleotides. RefSeq lists it as uncharacterized. The record is from RefSeq and is a predicted model, not a curated record. Lineage: Eukaryota; Metazoa; Chordata; Actinopteri; Syngnathiformes; Syngnathidae.